UACAUCCUUCGUUCGUUUGUCCCAAGCGC
RNAcentral lists this non-coding RNA (29 nucleotides) under Rattus norvegicus (Norway rat). Lineage: Eukaryota; Metazoa; Chordata; Mammalia; Rodentia; Muridae. The record is from RNAcentral.